RNAcentral lists this ribosomal RNA (397 nucleotides) under uncultured bacterium. RNAcentral's name for it is "partial 16S ribosomal RNA". It matches the Rfam family "Bacterial small subunit ribosomal RNA", at positions 523 to 918 of the family's 1533-position model. The record is from RNAcentral.
AUACGUAGGGGGCGAGCGUUGUCCGGAAUGAUUGGGCGUAAAGGGCGCGUAGGCGGCGCGGUAAGUCUGGAGUGAAAGUCCUGCUUUCAAGGUGGGAAUUGCUUUGGAUACUGCCGCGCUUGAGUGCAGGAGAGGUUAUCGGAAUUCCCGGUGUAGCGGUGAAAUGCGUAGAGAUCGGGAGGAACGCCAGUGGCGAAGGCGGGUAACUGGACUGCAACUGACGCUGAGGCGCGAAAGUGUGGGGAGCAAACAGGAUUAGAUACCCUGGUAGUCCACACUGUAAACGAUGAAUGCUAGGUGUAAGAGGUAUCGACCCCUUUUGUGCCGGAGUCAACACAAUAAGCAUUCCGCCUGGGGAGUACGGCCGCAAGGUUGAAACUCAAAUGAAUUGACGGGG